GUGUCAGCAGCCGCGGUAAUACGAGAGGCCCAAACAUUAUUCGGAAUUACUGGGCUUAAAGAGUUCGUAGGCGGCAUGGUAAGUAGGGUGUGAAAUCCCUCGGCUCAACCGAGGAAUUGCGCUCUAAACUACCGUGCUCGAGGAAGCUAGAGGUGAGCGGAACUGAUGGUGGAGCGGUGAAAUGCGUUGAUAUCAUCAGGAACACCGGAGGCGAAGGCGGCUCACUGGGGCUUUUCUGACGCUGAGGAACGAAAGCCAGGGUAGCGAACGGGAUUAGAAACCCUAGUAGUCC
RNAcentral lists this ribosomal RNA (292 nucleotides) under uncultured bacterium. RNAcentral describes it as "partial 16S ribosomal RNA". It matches the Rfam family "Bacterial small subunit ribosomal RNA", at positions 505 to 796 of the family's 1533-position model. The record is from RNAcentral.